RNAcentral lists this ribosomal RNA (253 nucleotides) under uncultured bacterium. RNAcentral's name for it is "partial 16S ribosomal RNA". It matches the Rfam family "Bacterial small subunit ribosomal RNA", at positions 524 to 776 of the family's 1533-position model. The record is from RNAcentral.
UACGGGGGGGGCAAGCGUUGUUCGGAAUUACUGGGCGUAAAGGGCGCGUAGGCGGUGCUCUAAGUUAGAUGUGAAAACUCUGGGCUCAACCCAGAGCCUGCAUCUAAAACUGGAGUGCUAGAGUUCUGGAGGGGGUAGCGGAAUUCCUGGUGUAGCGGUGAAAUGCGUAGAGAUCGGGAGGAAGGCCGGUGGCGAAGGCGGCGCUCUGGAACGUUUCUGACGCUGAGGCUCGAAAGCGUGGGGAGCAAACAGG